CUGAGGGUAGCUUAAGGGUUUAAAGCUCAGGAUUCUUACUCCUGCGAUGUUUGGGUUAUAUAACCUCUCAGG
RNAcentral lists this transfer RNA (72 nucleotides) under Echinostomatidae sp. CA-2021. RNAcentral describes it as "tRNA-Lys". It matches the Rfam family "tRNA". Rfam says of the family: Transfer RNA (tRNA) molecules are approximately 80 nucleotides in length. Their secondary structure includes four short double-helical elements and three loops (D, anti-codon, and T loops). Further hydrogen bonds mediate the characteristic L-shaped molecular structure. tRNAs have two regions of fundamental functional importance: the anti-codon, which is responsible for specific mRNA codon recognition, and the 3' end, to which the tRNAs corresponding amino acid is attached (by aminoacyl-tRNA synthetases). tRNAs cope with the degeneracy of the genetic code in two manners: having more than one tRNA (with a specific anti-codon) for a particular amino acid; and 'wobble' base-pairing, i.e. permitting non-standard base-pairing at the 3rd anti-codon position. The record is from RNAcentral. Lineage: Eukaryota; Metazoa; Platyhelminthes; Trematoda; Plagiorchiida; Echinostomatidae.